UACGAAGGGUGCAAGCGUUACUCGGAAUUACUGGGCGUAAAGCGUGCGUAGGUGGUUCGUUAAGUCUGAUGUGAAAGCCCUGGGCUCAACCUGGGAAUGGCAUUGGAAACUGGCGACCUAGAGUGCGGUAGAGGGUAGUGGAAUUCCCGGUGUAGCAGUGAAAUGCGUAGAGAUCGGGAGGAACAUCCGUGGCGAAGGCGGCAUCCUGGACCGGCAUUGACGCUGAGGCGCGAAAGCUAGGGUAGCAAACGGG
Molecule: ribosomal RNA, 253 nt
Filed under: uncultured bacterium
Lineage: Bacteria
Description: partial 16S ribosomal RNA
Rfam family: Bacterial small subunit ribosomal RNA
Source: RNAcentral